RNAcentral lists this long non-coding RNA (1499 nucleotides) under Equus caballus (horse). RNAcentral describes it as "lncRNA (ENSECAG00000044601.1)". Lineage: Eukaryota; Metazoa; Chordata; Mammalia; Perissodactyla; Equidae. The record is from RNAcentral.
CCCAGGCCUCAGCCAGGGCAGGAAGUGUUCCUGGGACCAGGGCCCUCCUCCUUGACCACCCCACCCCCAACAAGGACACCUUAUGGGGGCAGGGCAAUAUGUGACCACUCAGAUCCCACCCUUGCACAAGGGCCCACGUAGGAGGAAGGAGACCCAGCGUGUCCCCCAGCGCUGUCGCUAGGAGCCAGAGUCACUCACACCACAGCUUCCAUCCUCCGUGAUCUGGUCUGCACAAGCACUCCAUCCUGCAGUUAGUCCAGCCCUGCAAACGGAGCCCGAGUCAGGACGGACCCAACCUGGCCUUUCAGGACCCGGCCUCUGCAGGCUCCACAUUUCUUCUGAUGUGGCCACCCAUAGGCUGGUGCUGGAGUAGACUUCAAGGUGACCGCUCACCCCCCAGGAGGUGGAGCAAGAACCCUCCACCCUCAGCAUCCCCUCAGCCAGACCAGCACGUGGGCCCGGAGAGAAGGAAUCCGAGCACACGCCUCUCACCCCCUGCCACCCUUACCCUGCUUCCUCCAUGGUCCCUCGUGGGGAAGGAGUGGCUCUGCACUUCCUGUUUGCCAUUACCUGAGCCCUUGCCACCUGGGGAGUGAUAAACUUUGUGAUCUCAUCAGCCAAGCCUGGACUUCCAUAUGCUACCGGAGGAUCUCUGUCAACAAUCCCCCUAUUUCCGCAAAGCCUGGACUUCCAUACCAUCAUCUCCAUAACGAGGUCAAAAAAGUCAGCUUGGAGUCCCGAGGAUGACCACUUCCCACCCCUUCCCUGUGGCAAUGUCUGAUGGCUCAUCCUCUGAGACGGCAGCUGCAAGAAAACGUGAAUGAAAGGGUGAUUUUAAAAAGGAAUCCGUUCAAAUAGUUAAGAUGAUGAUGAAAUGGACGCUCAGUGAAGGCCUCAAUUCCCUCACUUUCAAAAUGAAGAAAUGAAUUUGGAUGAUUUCUAAUGAAGUGCUGUCCAGUAGAAACAGAAUCCGUGCCCCAUAUGUAAUUUUACGUUUUCCAGUCUUCACUUUUUUCAAAAAGGAGAAAGCAACAGCAAAGAACUGUCUCCAGCGACCAUCCCCAGUAGAAAAGUGGUUUUUGCUUCGAUCCAUCACAAAGCACCACUGCCAUCUGGUGGCAGGAUCUUGAAUUGCAAGCAAAUUCCCCAAGAUUAAAUACGCUCUAGGAAAGUGAUUCUCAAAGCGUGUUCUACUGAUAGCCUCCAAUUUACCAUGCGAGCUUCUUUAAAAUGCACAUUGCUGGGUCCCAUUGAAUCUGAAUCUCCAGGAUAGACUACAAACACCCACAUUUCAAAUAAAUUUCCCAAGUGAUCUUCAUGCAUACUCAAAUUUGAAAAUCAUUGAUCUAAAGAACAUGCCUACAUGGUGCAACCACAGAAAACUCGGAGACAGUCAGUAUCAAGGGCGGACUCAUUUUUCUGUGAUGCUGCUCUGAUAUUUUGAAGACUGCUGCUUUCUCUUUGUAGUCUGAUGGGUUCUAUGGAGUUGUGUUGUUUCU